AAAACGAAUUUCUCAAGCUGCAACCAGUAAUCAUGGUAAUCUUGCUAACUAUUUUUUUAUGUGACAACAAUUUUACCAAGUUCAAUAUGUUGGGACAACUCUCAUAACAGGGCAAUCUUGAUUAAAAUCACAAAUUGAGCUCAAUUGAUACAGAAUCUUUAGGUUCGCUUUUUAUAUUUGGUAUCACCACUCACCAUUGCAACAAUAAUCUCGAUUAUUUCCAAUGGGAUUUUGAACUCCUUUAGUCAUAAAUAUCAGCAUAUUAUAAUUCAAUUAAUUCUUUUAGGAAAUACGUAUGGCACCUCCAACGCCAUAAUUUCUUGUAUGAAACUUACAC
Molecule: non-coding RNA, 337 nt
Organism: Schizosaccharomyces pombe (fission yeast)
Lineage: Eukaryota; Fungi; Ascomycota; Schizosaccharomycetes; Schizosaccharomycetales; Schizosaccharomycetaceae
Source: the annotation of a GenBank genome assembly